UCAAGCGAAUAAGUGCAUACGGUGGAUGCCUAGGCAGUAAGAGGCGAUGAAGGACGUAGUAGACUGCGAUAAGCGCGGGGGAGUAGUCAAACAUACUUUGAUCCCGCGAUUUCCGAAUGGGGAAACCCAGUGUGCAUCAGCACAUUAUCCUUAAGUGAAUACAUAGCUUAAGGAGGCGAACCCGGGGAACUGAAACAUCUAAGUACCCGGAGGAAAAGAAAUCAACCGAGAUUCCCUUAGUAGCGGCGAGCGAACGGGGACCAGCCCUAAACCCUUAGAUGUGAUAGUGGAAUGCUCUGGAAAGUGCAGCCAUAGAGAGUGAUAGCCUCGUACACGAAAUCUAUUUUAAGGUUAUUCGAGUAGGUCGGGACACGUGUUAUCUUGACUGAACAUGGGGGGACCAUCCUCCAAGGCUAAAUACUCCUUACUGACCGAUAGUGAACUAGUACCGUGAGGGAAAGGUGAAAAGAACCCUUUUUAAGGGAGUGAAAUAGACCCUGAAACCGUAUGCAUACAAGCAGUAGGAGCUCCCUUGUGGGGUGACUGCGUACCUUUUGUAUAAUGGGUCAGCGACUUAUUCUCAGUGGCAAGCUUAAGUGCUUAGCGGAGGCGUAGGGAAACCGAGUCUUAAAUGGGCGACAUAGUCGCUGGGAAUAGACCCGAAACCGAGUGAUCUAUCCAUGGCCAGGUUGAAGGUUGAGUAACAUCAACUGGAGGACCGAACCCACUUAUGUUGAAAAAUGAGGGGAUGAGCUGUGGAUCGGAGUGAAAGGCUAAUCAAACUCGGAGAUAGCUGGUUCUCCUCGAAAUCUAUUUAGGUAGAGCCUCUUGUAUCACUGUUGGGGGUAGAGCACUGUUAUGGCUAGGGGGCCAUCCCGGCUUACCAACCCAUUGCAAACUCCGAAUACCAACAAGUGCAAUCAAGGGAGACACACAGCGGGUGCUAACGUCCGUUGUGAAGAGGGAAACAACCCAGACCGUCAGCUAAGGUCCCUAAAUAUUGCUCAGUGGGAAACGAUGUGAGAAGGCAUAGACAGCCAGGAGGUUGGCUUAGAAGCAGCCAUCCUUUAAAGAAAGCGUAAUAGCUCACUGGUCUAGUCGGCUUGCGCGGAAGAUUUAUCGGGGCUCAAGCAAUAUACCGAAGCUACGGGAGCUUGGAAUUUAUUCCAGGCUCGGUAGAGGAGCGUUCUGUAAGCCUGCGAAGGUGUGCUGUGAGGCAUGCUGGAGGUAUCAGAAGUGCGAAUGCUGACAUAAGUAACGACAAUGGGAGUGAGAAACUCCCACGCCGAAAACCCAAGGUUUCCUGCUCAACGUUAAUCGGAGCAGGGUUAGUCGGAUCCUAAGGCGAGGCCGAAAGGCGUAGUCGAUGGAAAACAGGUUAAUAUUCCUGUACCACUUAUAACUGCGAUGGGGAGACGGAGAAGGCUAGGCCAGCCGGCAGUUGGUGUCCGGUUUAAGCGAGUAGGGUGUGACCUUAGGCAAAUCCGGGGUCGCUUUACCUGAGACGUGAUGACGAGCUCUUUAGUGAGCGAAGUGGUUGAUGCCAUGCUUCCAAGAAAAUCCUCUAAGCUUCAGGUUAUGAGUGUCCGUACCCCAAACCGACACAGGUGGGUAAGUUGAGAAUACUAAGGCGCUUGAGAGAACUCGGGUGAAGGAACUAGGCAAAAUAGCACCGUAACUUCGGGAGAAGGUGCGCCCCUGAGGGUGAGAUUAUUUACUAGUCAAGCUUUUGGGGGCCGCAGUGACCAGGUGGCUGCGACUGUUUACUAAAAACAUAGCACUCUGCAAACACGCAAGUGGACGUAUAGGGUGUGACGCCUGCCCGGUGCCGGAAGGUUAAUUGAUGGGGUUAUCUUCGGAGAAGCUCUUGAUCGAAGCCCCGGUAAACGGCGGCCGUAACUAUAACGGUCCUAAGGUAGCGAAAUUCCUUGUCGGGUAAGUUCCGACCUGCACGAAUGGCGUAACGAUGGCCACACUGUCUCCACCCGAGACUCAGUGAAAUUGAAUUCGCGGUUAAGAUGCCGUGUACCCGCGGCUAGACGGAAAGACCCCGUGAACCUUUACUACAGCUUUGCACUGAACUUUGAACCUACUUGUGUAGGAUAGGUGGGAGGCGUUGAAACGUGAUCGCUAGAUUGCGUGGAGCCGACCUUGAAAUACCACCCUGGUAUGUUUGGAGUUCUAACUUAGACCCGUUAUCCGGGUUGAGGACAGUGUAUGGUGGGUAGUUUGACUGGGGCGGUCUCCUCCCAAAGAGUAACGGAGGAGCGCGAAGGUACCCUAAACACGGUCGGAAAUCGUGUGGUUUGUGCAAAGGCAUAAGGGUGCUUGACUGCGAGACAGACACGUCGAGCAGGUGCGAAAGCAGGUCUUAGUGAUCCGGUGGUUCUGCAUGGAAGGGCCAUCGCUCAACGGAUAAAAGGUACUCCGGGGAUAACAGGCUGAUUCCUCCCAAGAGUCCAUAUCGACGGAGGAGUUUGGCACCUCGAUGUCGGCUCAUCACAUCCUGGGGCUGUAGCAGGUCCCAAGGGUAUGGCUGUUCGCCAUUUAAAGUGGUACGCGAGCUGGGUUUAGAACGUCGUGAGACAGUUCGGUCCCUAUCUGCCGUGGGCGUUUGAGAAUUGAGGGAAGCUGCUCCUAGUACGAGAGGACCGGAGUGGACGAUCCCCUGGUGUUCCGGUUGUCACGCCAGUGGCAUUGCCGGGUAGCUACGAUCGGACAGGAUAACCGCUGAAAGCAUCUAAGCGGGAAGCCCCUCCCAAGAUGAGUUCUCACUGAAUCCUUGAGAUUCCUGAAGGGCCCUUGAAGACCACAAGGUUGAUAGGCAGGGUGUGGAAGCGCAGUAAUGUGUGAAGCUAACCUGUACUAAUUGCCCGUGAGGCUUGACCAU
Molecule: ribosomal RNA, 2890 nt
Filed under: Granulosicoccus antarcticus IMCC3135
Lineage: Bacteria; Pseudomonadati; Pseudomonadota; Gammaproteobacteria; Chromatiales; Granulosicoccaceae
Description: bacterial LSU rRNA
Rfam family: Bacterial large subunit ribosomal RNA
Source: RNAcentral